GGUGAACGCUGGCGGCAUGUCUAAGGCAUGCAAGUCUAAGGGUAAUUUAUUACCCUGGCAAACGGGUGCGUAACACAUUGGUAAUCUGCCUCCAUCUCGGGCAUAACCCAGGGAAACUUGGGACAAUUCCCGACAGUCAUUUCAUCGUAAAAAUGUUAUGUAAAGUUCCGACGGAUGGAGAGGAGCCUAUGGCCCAUCAGCUAGUUGGUAGGGUAAAAGCCUACCAAGGCUAUGACGGGUAGCGGGUGUGAGAGCACGACCCGCCUCACUGGGACUGAGACACUGCCCAGACUCCUACGGGAGGCUGCAGUCGAGAAUCUUCCUCAAUGGCCGAAAGGCUGAAGGAGCAAUGCCGCGUGAUCGAAGAAGCCCCUCGGGGUGUAAAGAUCUUUUCUGAAGGACGAAUUCGUGACGGUACUUCAGGAAUAAGUCACUGCUAACUUCGUG
This 447-nucleotide ribosomal RNA is filed under the name uncultured bacterium. RNAcentral's name for it is "bacterial SSU rRNA". It matches the Rfam family "Bacterial small subunit ribosomal RNA", at positions 28 to 507 of the family's 1533-position model. The record is from RNAcentral.